UGCUUUCAAGUUCUUCCUUCAGAGUGAGAGUUCUGCACAGUUAAAUGCUUCAAUCACUGAAGCUUGAUAGGAACUUCCUGUUUUCUUUCUUUGGUAUUCUAAGUUCUGUUUUAUAGUAUCAGUAACUGCAGGAUUCUGAGUGCAAAGCUUUACAUAGCACAACAAAGUGGCUUCUUACUAUUAGCCCAAAGAAAAUGUGUUUCGGGUUAAUGGCAAUACGGUGACUUUCCAUAAAAACUCCUUUUGACCCGUUAUUUCCAUUCUAUGCAGGCAAAAUGGAUCCUUCUCUCUUUGCGUUCAGUGAUGAGCAAGCAUUUCAAGUGUACAUACGACUUGUUUCUGUCAAUCAGCGAUUCACACAGAGUCAUGCUCAACCAUGUUACUACAAUCUGGAAUUUGCAAAUCUGUAAGCAUUUUUCCGACGAUGAAUUACGUCAACACAAUUGCACCAUCGUUGACCGAAAAGGAGCGUCUCGGCACUGCUGCUGCGGGAAUUUUUCUUUAGAGAAAACUCAGUAACACGGGAAAAAUUUGGCCAUGGGAAAAUUAUCAUCGUUCCGCAAGAAAAACAUUUACAUAAGUCAUGGUGCACCCUGAUGAACGGUCAUCAUUAGACACAGCAUUAGAGAAAUGCAAAGAUGUUUGUGACACACUGUUAAGGAUGAAUGGAAAACUGGUAAUAAAGCCCAACAGCAUAAACUCGUCUCUGAAAACUGCGCGUGUGCUUAUGUAUACACGUAAAACGCAUCCAGAAAGCUCUACAGCAAUGAGUCAAAAAUGCCACAUCCAGCCACGUGGGAUUAUGUUUUUCUACCUUUUUCUUUUCUUUUUUCAGUAUAAGUUACUGAUGUUGUCUAACGAGUAUGUAUUUCUAUUGUAAUAAUAAAAAUUCUUUCAUUUUUCACUAAUA
Long non-coding RNA from Callithrix jacchus (white-tufted-ear marmoset), 910 nucleotides. RefSeq lists it as uncharacterized. NCBI's taxonomy places the organism in Eukaryota, Metazoa, Chordata, Mammalia, Primates, Cebidae. The record is from RefSeq and is a predicted model, not a curated record.